GGCUGGUCCAAGUGCAGUGGUGUUUAUAACUGUCUGAUCACAACCAGUUAUAGAUUCCUUUGUUCCUUCUCCACUCCCACUGCUUCAGUUGACUAGCCUUAA
Molecule: Y RNA, 102 nt
Filed under: Prolemur simus (greater bamboo lemur)
Lineage: Eukaryota; Metazoa; Chordata; Mammalia; Primates; Lemuridae
Description: Y RNA (ENSPSMG00000024841.1)
Rfam family: Y RNA
About the family: Y RNAs are components of the Ro ribonucleoprotein particle (Ro RNP), in association with Ro60 and La proteins. The Y RNAs and Ro60 and La proteins are well conserved, but the function of the Ro RNP is not known.
Source: Rfam by way of RNAcentral